This 236-nucleotide ribosomal RNA is filed under the name uncultured bacterium. RNAcentral's name for it is "partial 16S ribosomal RNA". It matches the Rfam family "Bacterial small subunit ribosomal RNA", at positions 99 to 334 of the family's 1533-position model. The record is from RNAcentral.
CGCACGGGUGAGUAACGCGUAUGCAACUUGCCUAUCAGAGGGGGAUAACCCGGCGAAAGUCGGACUAAUACCGCAUGAAGCAGGGAUCCCGCAUGGGAAUAUUUGCUAAAGAUUCAUCGCUGAUAGAUAGGCAUGCGUUCCAUUAGGCAGUUGGCGGGGUAACGGCCCACCAAACCGACGAUGGAUAGGGGUUCUGAGAGGAAGGUCCCCCACAUUGGUACUGAGACACGGACCAA